AAGUCGUAACAAGGUUUCCGUAGGUGAACCUGCGGAAGGAUCAUUAACACGUAUCCAAACGUUAAAACCCCCCCCGUGAACCUUCAUCCUGCUCUUGUAACCCGCGUAGUUCGCAAUCUCUGAUAAAUCAUAGCCCGGAAAGUUGUAGUGAUUCAGAGACCUCUGGCUACGUGCGAACAUUGGAACAGUUACAAUCGAGCGGUAGUUCUAUAGGCAAUGUUUCCCCAAGCAGUCAGUGUCGGAAAGUGUCAUUGAUUGUGCAAGGAUAGCGCUUCUACGAUUCCUGUAGACCGUACACUCGGGCAGGAGUUAAUGUGAAGCUCAAUGUAAUACAUUGGGUAAACAAACCGAACAACUGUUUACAAUGGAUAUCUUGGUUCUC
RNAcentral lists this unclassified non-coding RNA (382 nucleotides) under fungal sp. RNAcentral's name for it is "partial internal transcribed spacer region". The stretch from base 1 to 46 matches the Rfam family "Eukaryotic small subunit ribosomal RNA", at positions 1786 to 1831 of the family's 1831-position model. Lineage: Eukaryota; Fungi. The record is from RNAcentral.